UUUCCGUAGGUGAACCUGCGGAAGGAUCAUUACCGAGAGAGGGUGCUCUGCGCGCCCGACCUCCCAACCCUUUGAUGACAUACCGCGUUGCCUCGGGGCUGCCUUUCGUUAGGCGCCCCCGAAGGUCUCCAAACACUGCAUCUUUGCGUCGGAGUUUGAAACAAAUUAAACAAAACUUUCAACAACGGAUCUCUUGGUUCUGGCAUCGAUGAAGAACGCAGC
Molecule: unclassified non-coding RNA, 222 nt
Filed under: uncultured fungus
Lineage: Eukaryota; Fungi
Description: sequence contains ITS1, 5.8S rRNA gene
Rfam family: 5.8S ribosomal RNA (bases 174-222)
Source: RNAcentral